Molecule: ribosomal RNA, 1488 nt
Filed under: Lactobacillus sp.
Lineage: Bacteria; Bacillati; Bacillota; Bacilli; Lactobacillales; Lactobacillaceae
Description: bacterial SSU rRNA
Rfam family: Bacterial small subunit ribosomal RNA
Source: RNAcentral
GACGAACGCUGGCGGCAUGCCUAAUACAUGCAAGUCGAACGAACCAAACCAUUGAUUGGAGCUUGCUCCUUGAUUUGGACCUUGGUGAGUGGCGGACGGGUGAGUAACACGUGGGUAACCUGCCCAAAAGUGGGGGAUAACAUCUGGAAACAGGUGCUAAUACCGCAUAACAACUACUUUCACAUGAUCGUAGCUUGAAAGAUGGCUCUGCUAUCGCUUUUGGAUGGACCCGCGGCGUAUUAGCUAGUUGGUGAGGUAACGGCUCACCAAGGCAAUGAUACGUAGCCGACCUGAGAGGGUAAUCGGCCACAUUGGGACUGAGACACGGCCCAAACUCCUACGGGAGGCAGCAGUAGGGAAUCUUCCACAAUGGGCGAAAGCCUGACGGAGCAAUGCCGCGUGAGUGAAGAAGGUUUUCGGAUCGUAAAACUCUGUUGUUGAAGAAGAACAUGCGUGAGAGUGACUGUUCACGUACUGACGGUAUUCAACCAGAAAGCCACGGCUAACUACGUGCCAGCAGCCGCGGUAAUACGUAGGUGGCAAGCGUUGUCCGGAUUUAUUGGGCGUAAAGAGAAUGUAGGCGGUUUAUUAAGUUUGAAGUGAAAGCCCUCGGCUCAACCGAGGAAGUGCUUCGAAAACUAGUAAACUUGAGUGCAGAAGAGGAAAGUGGAACUCCAUGUGUAGCGGUGGAAUGCGUAGAUAUAUGGAAGAACACCAGUGGCGAAGCGGCUUUCUGGUCUGUAACUGACGCUGAGAUUCGAAAGCAUGGGUAGCAAACAGGAUUAGAUACCCUGGUAGUCCAUGCCGUAAACGAUGAGUGCUAAGUGUUGGAGGGUUUCCGCCCUUCAGUGCUGCAGCUAACGCAUUAAGCACUCCGCCUGGGGAGUACGAUCGCAAGAUUGAAACUCAAAGGAAUUGACGGGGGCCCGCACAAGCGGUGGAGCAUGUGGUUUAAUUCGAAGCAACGCGAAGAACCUUACCAGGUCUUGACAUACCAUGAAAAGCUUAGAGAUAAGUCUUUCCCUUCGGGGACAUGGAUACAGGUGGUGCAUGGUUGUCGUCAGCUCGUGUCGUGAGAUGUUGGGUUAAGUCCCGCAACGAGCGCAACCCUUAUUAUCAGUUGCCAGCAUUUAGUUGGGCACUCUGGUGAGACUGCCGGUGACAAACCGGAGGAAGGUGGGGACGACGUCGAAUCAUCAUGCCCCUUAUGACCUGGGCUACACACGUGCUACAAUGGUCGGUACAACGUGCUGCGAACUCGCGAGGGUAAGCAAAUCACUUAAAACCGAUCUCAGUUCGGAUUGUAGGCUGCAACUCGCCUACAUGAAGCUGGAAUCGCUAGUAAUCGCGGAUCAGCAUGCCGCGGUGAAUACGUUCCCGGGCCUUGUACACACCGCCCGUCACACCAUGAGAGUUCGUAACACCCAAAGCCGGUGGGGUAACCCUUCGGGGAGCUAGCCGUCUAAGGUGGGACAAAUGAUUAGGGUG